AUACGUAGGUGGCAAGCGUUGUCCGGAUUUACUGGGUGUAAAGGGCGUGUAGGCGGAGAUGCAAGUCAGGAGUGAAAUCUAGGGGCUCAACCCCUAAACUGCUUUUGAAACUGUAUCCCUUGAGUAUCGGAGAGGCAGGCGGAAUUCCUAGUGUAGCGGUGAAAUGCGUAGAUAUUGGGAGGAACACCAGUGGCGAAGGCGACUUACUGGGUCGUAACUGACGCCGAGGCGCGAAAGCGUGGGGUGCGGACAGGAUUAGAUACCCUCGUAGUCCACGCUGUCAACGAUGAUUACUAGGUUUAGGGGGUAUCGACUGCCUCUGUGCCGCAGUUAACGCAGUUAGGAAUCCACCUGGGGAGUACGGUCGCAAGAUUAAAUCUCAAAUGAAUUGACGGGG
RNAcentral lists this ribosomal RNA (397 nucleotides) under uncultured bacterium. RNAcentral describes it as "partial 16S ribosomal RNA". It matches the Rfam family "Bacterial small subunit ribosomal RNA", at positions 523 to 918 of the family's 1533-position model. The record is from RNAcentral.